AUGUCCGCCAAGGCUAGAACCCUCACCAAGCUGCUAUCCUCCGCCACCACGUACUCCGAUCCCACGGCCAAAAACCUCACUCGUUCCGCCAUCACCUCCGCCGGUCAAGAGGUAAACCUAAAAAACUAUAUCCGAUUUACAGAGGCUCCAGAUUCUUCUUCUUCUUCUUCUUCUUCCUCAUCACAUCUUAAACCCUCACAAUCGGAUAAAUCUUUAUCAUCCAAACCUCUAAGUGAGAUAGCUGUUGAGAGCAUUAGGAUUGACAACGCUGCUUCUAUUUCCGAUGCAAAAAGCGAGCUUUGCGGACGAAUCAAUUCUAUAUUGUGCGGAGAUGUAGAUGACUCACCAGCUUCAGACGAACAUAUUUUGGAUGUACCAUGGCUGCCAACUAUAUCUCAGAGCAGUGCAUCAUUGCGUCGCAAAGAAAAUACAAGGUUUAGGAAGCAAAAAUGGGUCUACAACUGUUCACAGGGAAAUCAUUUUGGGAGGCUGCUUAGGUUGUGUACACAUAAACUAGGGACAAAGGCUACUAUAAACGUAUUUGGUAGAUUGGGCCGUGAAACAGGUGUUAAAGAAUUUAAUGCUAUGAUAGAAGUUUGCAUAGAGAAGGCUAGGAAUACAAAUGACGAGGAUGUUACUUUGGAAGAGUUCCAUAGGGCAUAUAUGGUAUUUGAAACUAUGAAGGAACGCGGUUUCCAAAUUGGGGAAGAAACUUAUGGCCCACUUCUUAUGUUUAUCAUCGACAUGGGCAUGGUUGAAGAAUUUCACUUCUUCUGUGAUAACAUUAAGAAGGAAAAUCCGAAGUCUCUUUCAAAACUAGCUUAUUAUGAGAUGCUUCUAUAUAUAAAAGUAGGCAACGAAGAUAAUAUACAUAUGCUUCUGGCAGAUACACAUGGCAGUGAUGCAUCCAACUUCAAUGAGAGUUAUUUGGCAGCCUUGUGUGAAGGAGAUAGGCAAGAGGAGGUGUUGAUGCUGUUAGAAACAAUAGACAUAAAGAAAGUUUCGUUGAAGGAGAGUAGGGAAAGGAUUUUUAAAUCAUUGGGAAGGCUUACAUUGGAGUCCCAUGCAAAAAAAUUCAUUAUGGAACUCAAAACCGUUGAUAAUGAAGGGAAGGAACUGUCAAACUUGAUUUACAGUUACGCAAAGAGCAUACCAAACAUACCGAUUGAAGAAUUUCUUGUGAAGUUCAAAAAUUUGCAAGAUGAAUUGAAGGUUGCAUCUUCAUCUAUAUCUUACGAGAAGCUUAUUAAAGCCUCUUGCGAGUCACUCGAGGUACAUUUGGCUGUUGACUUAAUUGAUUCGAUGUUUGAAGAUGGGCUAACUGUGCGGAUAAACAUGUUCAAUACCUUACUAACGUCAUGUUAUGCAAGCUGCGAUUAUAAUUUGGUUUAUCGGAUAAAGUCCAUGAUAGAUGAUCAUGAUAUAAAAGCGAAUGCCGAGACCUACAGAAGUAUGAUAAGUUUGUGUGUAAAAAUGAAGGAUUUUGAUGGAGCAUAUGGCAUGAUUAAAGAUCUAGGGAGGUUGAAUAUGUGUCCUACUGUUAACAUGUACAAUGUGAUAAUGGGUGGAUACUUUCGACAGAAAAACUUUAAUAAAGCACUGAUGGUUCUUAAACAAAUGGAGGCUUCAGGUCUCAAUCCAGAUUCUCAUACUUUCAGUUAUAUUAUAGGCAAUUGCAGUAGUGAAGAUGAUAUCAUAAAGUAUCGUAAAGAGCUGGAUGAAUCAGGAGUUACAGCUACAAAGCACAUUUAUAUGGCACUUAUAAAUGCAUAUGCCGCUUGUGGGUUGUUUGAGAAAGCAAAACAGGUUCUUUCAGACAAAAAAAUUCCUAAAGACAGUCUGAAUGAAAUCAAAAGCGUGCUUGUUUCUGCACUUGCUAGCCAAGGCCAAAUGACCAAUGCCCUUGAAAUAUAUGAUGAAAUCAAACAAGAUGCAGCAGAUCUGGAGCCAAAAUCCAUUAUAUGCCUUAUUGAACAUCUUCAAUCUGAAGGUGAGCUAAGCCGAUUACUUCAGCUUCUAAAGCAAUUGAAGGAUUUUGACUUUUGGGAUGAUGGAUGUGCCAGGAUCAUCUUGUAUUGCGUUCGGCACAAGCUUUUAGGGUAUAAUGCUCGGCCGUUGAUUUACUUAAGCAACGUAUGGAGAAGUGCACCAAUGAAACGGCUACAGAAGGUCUUUUUGAUGAGGUGUUUUGCGCAAUUGUGGAAACAGAGCCGAUUGAUGUGCAGUUCGGCUUGGAUCUGCUUCAAGCCAUUAAGGAAGAUAUUGGGAUUCGACCAUCAAGGAGAAGUCUUGAUUUUCUUCUGAGUGCUUGUGUUAAUGCCAGAGAUCUAGAUCGUUCUUUCAUAGUUUGGAAAGAAUAUCAGACUGCUGGUCUUCCAUACAACGUGUUAACUUUUGUAAGGAUGUAUCAGGCACUUCUGGCUUCAGGAGCCCAUAAAGCUGCAAAGGUUUUGCUAAAAAACAUACAUGAUGAUGAUUGUCAUGUGUUGCGUGUCCUUAACGCAUGUCGAUUGACUUUUGGCAAAUCAGCCUCGACAAAGCCAAGGAGGGAAAGAAGAAGAUGAAGAAAAAGAAAGUGAAGUAGAGGUGAGGUCUCGAUUAUUGGCAACACACACUAAUUAACAUGGUGAAACACUAGAUUUUCAGAUGCAACACAAGGUUUAUACCGUACGGCUUUGAGGACCCUAUCGUUUGCAUUUUGAUUCUUCAAGUGAUGAUCACGAAAUUGAGGUACAUAUCAUUCAUCCCAUGAAAAUUAUUAUUAGCGAGACUAACUUUUAUGUUGUUUAAGAAAACUAUCGAGUUUAAAGUUACGUUUAUUAGUGUAUCGUAUGUUAAAGUUCAAUGAAUUGGGAUGUAAAAGUAUAGCAUAGCCCCCUUUCGUACAUCCCGACUAACAAGAGCUGGUAUCGGAACAAAAACGACAUAUAGCUCGAGUCAUGACCAACUAUAAAGACCAUUUAAUUUACUCUAGGUUUUUAUAAUGGCAAAAUGCAUCAAAAGUACCGAGUUUGUCUUUGUUCUUAUUUAGUGCGACUAUUUUUUUUUCUUAAUUAGUGUAAGAGACGUCGAGUUCUUAUUUCAUACAUAUUUUACCUGGUAAAUCGAUUAAAUUUUGAUGUGAUGUUUUUCUACGUGAUUAAGAAUUAUAAUU
RNA transcript from Cynara cardunculus var. scolymus (artichoke), 3154 nucleotides. It is a transcript of the gene named pentatricopeptide repeat-containing protein At4g04790, mitochondrial-like, with no coding region annotated. The record is from RefSeq and is a predicted model, not a curated record. Lineage: Eukaryota; Viridiplantae; Streptophyta; Magnoliopsida; Asterales; Asteraceae. The transcript is spliced from 17 exons.